AUGUUAGCUGACAAGGUUGUGGACCAAUGGGAUGACAGUGACACUGAAAACUCCUCUGGAAGUGCAUCAUAUCAAGUUGUUCCUUACAAGAAUGUCCAGGGAGAAAACAACUUACCUGUGUUGUCUAAAAAAAGAAAAUUCAUUAUCAGUACAUAUUCUGUGCAAUGUAGUACUUGCAAAAAAUGGAGAGUUGUACCAUCCAAACUGAAAUAUGAGCAAAUCCGAGAGAAUAUUAUACAAGUUCCUUUUUCUUGCAAAUAUGUCCAUGGGUGGAAGCCACAAGUUACAUGCCAUGAUCCAACUGAUAUAUCUGAGGAUAAUGGCAUGGCAUGGGCAAUUGAUAUCCCAUGCAUCCCUCAGACCCCUCUUGGGUGGGAAAGGAAUAUUACUCUAAGGAAUGAACAGAGCACGAGAUUCGCUGAUGUGUACUAUAUCUCUCCCGCAGGCAUAAAAAUAAGAUCCAAGAAAGAGGUUGAAAGGUAUCUUGAAGACAACCCAGACUAUGCUGCUGAUUUACAUUUAUCUCAGUUUUCGUUCAAGGUACCUAAACCUCCAAAUUGCCCUCGUCAUUCAGAGCUUAUUGAACCAACUGAAGUGCCACCUCCGGUUCACGAGGAUCCCGUGCACAACUACAUGUCGGUCCCUCAUGGAGAAGCCAAUCUUGUAACUCACAUAGCAGUGACACUAGCUCUACAAGUACCAGUGAUUCUCUCCAAAAAGAGAAAACUAAACCAGUGA
RNAcentral lists this ribosomal RNA (738 nucleotides) under Triticum aestivum (bread wheat). Its description in RNAcentral is "partial small subunit ribosomal RNA". Lineage: Eukaryota; Viridiplantae; Streptophyta; Magnoliopsida; Poales; Poaceae. The record is from RNAcentral.